AUAUAGUCUUUUUUUAAAGACACACUAUAGUUUCCAUCAAUUUUUUU
Non-coding RNA from Caenorhabditis elegans, 47 nucleotides. The record is from Rfam. Lineage: Eukaryota; Metazoa; Nematoda; Chromadorea; Rhabditida; Rhabditidae.